CUCCAGCAGAGGCUUUCUUCAAGCUUUUUUUCUUCAUUAUUGUACAUAUAGGGAAGUAUUUUUAUUUAUUUAUUUUUUCUGCCUGACAAACCCUUUCAAACUUCCUCAAUUAUUUCACAUUUCACUCAAGUUUCUAUGUUGAUGCACAGUUGAAAAGAUGACUUACUUGUGAUCCAUAUUAAUAAUAGUAGACUUUAUUUAUGUUGCAGUUGCAAAGUGCUUUACAGAAACACAUAUAACACAGUGAAUUAAACACAAUAAGAAUUAUGAAAACUGGACCACAAAUGGAGUAAAACAGAACGUCAUAAAGCAGUUAAGCCAUUUUUAAAAGAUGAGACUGAGUUUGCAGCCCUGAUCAUCUCAGUCAGAUCACUCCAAAGUCCAAAUCUGAGGUCUUCUGGGAGCGGGGCAUUAUUAACAUUAACACAUAUGAAAAAGCAACAGGUAAGAAAUCACAUGUACAUUUUAUAUCCUUAUGUGCUGAAAAGCUGCAAAGCCCAGUAACACAGCAAGCCCAGCUAACCUUAACUCCUGGGCUGCUACAACACUACUUGUAUGACAUGGUGUGUAUUCAUAUUUUUUUUUCAUCUUUUGAAUUUUCAUCAUUAAUAUUUCUUUGUCAUUAUUCCAGUUAUUGGCGAAGACUACACAUGAGAUGCAACGAGCUACAGAAACAGAGAACAAACAUGUAGCAGGACGACUAUACAAGAUUGUGAAAGUAGAAAAGUGGUGCGUAGGUGGAAGGAGAAGUAGCGGUGCAGCACAGCAGCAGUGAAGGCAGUUUGUCGGACCAGUAAAGUGAGCACCUCAGACUGCUGCUACUGCAUACUGAAUCCUAAACACUUCUUCAUCAAAUCCCAACAAUGCUUGCUGCUGCAAAGAAACAGUACCGGUGGUGUUUCUGACUCAGUGGAUAACUACAGACACCCACACUGCCUGCUGGAGGUGAUUCAUAAGGCCUAAUCAACGCACAUGCACAAUGGACUGCAAUAACAGCAGACGGUGGCUGUUUCUGUUAUCUUUUCCAGUGGUUGGAGGUGUGUGUGCGGGGAUCACACUGUGUGUCUUGCUGUGUUUGUGGACAGCAGAUGUAAAACGUUGAGUAAACAGGACUCUCGCCUUUGCGGCAGCAGCUGUUGGGUCAGAUGCCAAGUUAUGGGCGA
Long non-coding RNA from Acanthopagrus latus (yellowfin seabream), 1163 nucleotides. RefSeq lists it as uncharacterized. Lineage: Eukaryota; Metazoa; Chordata; Actinopteri; Spariformes; Sparidae. The transcript is spliced from 3 exons. The record is from RefSeq and is a predicted model, not a curated record.